This 69-nucleotide transfer RNA is filed under the name Heterocephalus glaber (naked mole-rat). It matches the Rfam family "tRNA". From Rfam's summary of the family: Transfer RNA (tRNA) molecules are approximately 80 nucleotides in length. Their secondary structure includes four short double-helical elements and three loops (D, anti-codon, and T loops). Lineage: Eukaryota; Metazoa; Chordata; Mammalia; Rodentia; Bathyergidae. The record is from Rfam by way of RNAcentral.
GGGGAUGUAGCUCACUGAUAGAGCAUUUGCCUUGCAUGCAUGAGGCCCUGAGUUCAACCUCCAGCCCUA